This 482-nucleotide ribosomal RNA is filed under the name uncultured bacterium. RNAcentral's name for it is "partial 16S ribosomal RNA". It matches the Rfam family "Bacterial small subunit ribosomal RNA", at positions 28 to 507 of the family's 1533-position model. The record is from RNAcentral.
GUUGAACGCUGGCGGCAUGCCUUACACAUGCAAGUCGAACGGUAACACGUCUUCGUUUCCUGUCUGGCGUCGACCGCGGGCGUAAUACUUCCAAACGUACCCGCUCGCGGUGGGUAACGAGUCGCUAGCUUUGCUAAUACCUCAUACCAUCUACUGUUUAAAACCGCGGAUUUUCGUACCUCGCGCCGGCUUUGCUGCCGCUGGCAGAUUAGGUAGUUGGUGGGAUAAAAGCUUACCAAGCCGACGAUCUGUAGCUGGUCUGAGAGGAUGAUCAGCCACACUGGGACUGAGACACGGCCCAGACUCCUACGGGAGGCAGCAGUGGGGAAUCUUGGACAAUGGGCGAAAGCCUGAUGCAGCAAUGCCGCGUGAAGGAUGAAGGCCUUCGGGUUGUAAAAUGCUUUUAUAAGGAAAGAAAAGACUCGUACGAAAAAAGAGGGGUCAUGACGGUACCGUAAGAAUAAGCACCGGCUAACUACGUG